This is a non-coding RNA of Pelobates cultripes (western spadefoot toad), 202 nucleotides long. Lineage: Eukaryota; Metazoa; Chordata; Amphibia; Anura; Pelobatidae. The record is from the annotation of a GenBank genome assembly.
AUUCACUCAGGAAAGAUCUAAAGGAGUAUGUGCAGGCAUGUUAUGUGUGUGCAGUUUCUAAGGUGACUCAUGUACUUCCUUGUGGCCUGUUGCAGCCUCUUCCUGUUCCUGAGAUUCCAUGGUCCCACUUAUCCAUGGACUUUAUUGUUGAGCUUCCUAGCUCUGCUGGGUUCACUACUAUUCUCAUGGUUGUAGACCGAUU